CCCUUAGAUGUCCUGGGCCGCACGCGCGUUACACUGAUGCAUUCAACGAGCUUAUAACCUUGGCCGAGAGGCCUGGGCAAUCUUGUUAACGUGCAUCGUGAUAGGGAUAGAUUAUUGAAAUUAUUAAUCUUGAACGAGGAAUUCCUAGUAAACGCAGAUCAUCAAUCUGCAUUGAUUACGUCCCUGCCCUUUGUACACACCGCCCGUCGCACCUACCGAUUGGGUGGUCCGGUGAAGCCUCGGGAUUGUGGUUCUUGCCGCUUUGUUGUGGCGUGACCGCGAGAACUUGUCUAAACCUUAUCAUCUAGAGGAAGGUGAAGUCGUAACA
RNAcentral lists this ribosomal RNA (328 nucleotides) under uncultured eukaryote. RNAcentral's name for it is "partial 18S ribosomal RNA". It matches the Rfam family "Eukaryotic small subunit ribosomal RNA", at positions 1470 to 1796 of the family's 1831-position model. The record is from RNAcentral.